This 186-nucleotide non-coding RNA is filed under the name Heterocephalus glaber (naked mole-rat). Its description in RNAcentral is "Eukaryotic small subunit ribosomal RNA". It matches the Rfam family "Eukaryotic small subunit ribosomal RNA", at positions 1511 to 1660 of the family's 1831-position model. The record is from Rfam by way of RNAcentral. Lineage: Eukaryota; Metazoa; Chordata; Mammalia; Rodentia; Bathyergidae.
AAAAUCAGGCACAAGUAGUCUAAGGUAAUAGAAUUCAGAAUAGUCAGCAUGUGUCUACCCCAUGCAGGCAGGGAACCCAUUGAACAUCAUUCGUGAUGGGUAUCCGGGAUUGCAAUUAUUCCUCAUGGACAAGGAAUUCCCAGUAAGGGUGGGCCAUAAGCUUGCAUUGAUUAAGUCCCUGCUCUU